RNAcentral lists this long non-coding RNA (341 nucleotides) under Elaeis guineensis (African oil palm). RNAcentral's name for it is "long non-coding RNA (EGUI_LNC081638)". The record is from RNAcentral. Lineage: Eukaryota; Viridiplantae; Streptophyta; Magnoliopsida; Arecales; Arecaceae.
GGUGGUUGGUGCAGCUGUCCAGCAGAAGAAAGCCUAUAAGACAUAAGUGGUGUCCAAAUAUAAGAAAAGACCUUCAGUCCAAGGAAAUGAUGUUUUAGAGGCCUCCAAGGGAGCUCCAAGGUUGAAGGAUUUGGCAUUAGCGAUAGAAUUUGCACAGGAAGUUGUCAGGGUGCACGACGAUAGUAGGUUGGUGCAGAUGGACCGCACGACGUUUAUUAAGACUUUACAGCACCAAGAUGGAGAUUAUAGGCUUAGGUAUAGUGCUCCCAAUCCUUAGGAGGCCAAAUGAAGAGCCAUAGUGUUGGCUCUAUGAGUCUAGAACUAGUUUGGGUCCUAGGGCU